Molecule: transfer RNA, 70 nt
Filed under: Camelus bactrianus (Bactrian camel)
Lineage: Eukaryota; Metazoa; Chordata; Mammalia; Artiodactyla; Camelidae
Also listed under: 3 other names
Rfam family: tRNA
About the family: Transfer RNA (tRNA) molecules are approximately 80 nucleotides in length. Their secondary structure includes four short double-helical elements and three loops (D, anti-codon, and T loops).
Source: Rfam by way of RNAcentral
GGAGAUAGCUCAGUGGUAGAGUGCCUGCCUAGCAUGCACAAGGUCCUGGGUUCAAUCCCCAGUACUUCCA